UUUUAUAAGAAUAUGAUGUUGGUUCAGAUUAAGCGCUAAAUAAGGACAUGACACAUGCGAAUCAUACGUUUAUUAUUGAUAAAAUAAUAAAUAUGUGGUGUAAACGUGAGUAAUUUUAUUAGGAAUUAAUGAACUAUAGAAUAAGCUAAAUACUUAAUAUAUUAUUAUAUAAAAAUAAUUUAUAUAAUAAAAAGGAUAUAUAUAUAAUAUAUAUUUAUCUAUAGUCAAGCCAAUAAUGGUUUAGGUAGUAGGUUUAUUAAGAGUUAAACCUAGCCAACGAUCCAUAAUCGAUAAUGAAAGUUAGAACGAUCACGUUGACUCUGAAAUAUAGUCAAUAUCUAUAAGAUACAGCAGUGAGGAAUAUUGGACAAUGAUCGAGAGAUUGAUCCAGUUACUUAUUAGGAUGAUAUAUAAAAAUAUUUUAUUUUAUUUAUAAAUAUUAAAUAUUUAUAAUAAUAAUAAUAAUAUAUAUAUAUAUAUAAAUUGAUUAAAAAUAAAAUCCAUAAAUAAUUAAAAUAAUGAUAUUAAUUACCAUAUAUAUUUUUAUAUGGAUAUAUAUAUUAAUAAUAAAAUUAAUUUAUUAUUAUUAAUAAUAUAUUUUAAUAGUCCUGACUAAUAUUUGUGCCAGCAGUCGCGGUAACACAAAGAGGGCGAGCGUUAAUCAUAAUGGUUUAAAGGAUCCGUAGAAUGAAUUAUAUAUUAUAAUUUAGAGUUAAUAAAAUUAAUUAAAGAAUUAUAAUAGUAAAGAUGAAAUAAUAAUAAUAAUUAUAAGACUAAUAUAUGUGAAAAUAUUAAUUAAAUAUUAACUGACAUUGAGGGAUUAAAACUAGAGUAGCGAAACGGAUUCGAUACCCGUGUAGUUCUAGUAGUAAACUAUGAAUACAAUUAUUUAUAAUAUAUAUUAUAUAUAAAUAAUAAAUGAAAAUGAAAGUAUUCCACCUGAAGAGUACGUUAGCAAUAAUGAAACUCAAAACAAUAGACGGUUACAGACUUAAGCAGUGGAGCAUGUUAUUUAAUUCGAUAAUCCACGACUAACCUUACCAUAUUUUGAAUAUUAUAAUAAUUAUUAUAAUUAUUAUAUUACAGGCGUUACAUUGUUGUCUUUAGUUCGUGCUGCAAAGUUUUAGAUUAAGUUCAUAAACGAACAAAACUCCAUAUAUAUAAUUUUAAUUAUAUAUAAUUUUAUAUUAUUUAUUAAUAUAAAGAAAGGAAUUAAGACAAAUCAUAAUGAUCCUUAUAAUAUGGGUAAUAGACGUGCUAUAAUAAAAUGAUAAUAAAAUUAUAUAAAAUAUAUUUAAUUAUAUUUAAUUAAUAAUAUAAAACAUUUUAAUUUUUAAUAUAUUUUUUUAUUAUAUAUUAAUAUGAAUUAUAAUCUGAAAUUCGAUUAUAUGAAAAAAGAAUUGCUAGUAAUACGUAAAUUAGUAUGUUACGGUGAAUAUUCUAACUGUUUCGCACUAAUCACUCAUCACGCGUUGAAACAUAUUAUUAUCUUAUUAUUUAUAUAAUAUUUUUUAAUAAAUAUUAAUAAUUAUUAAUUUAUAUUUAUUUAUAUCAGAAAUAAUAUGAAUUAAUGCGAAGUUGAAAUACAGUUACCGUAGGGGAACCUGCGGUGGGCUUAUAAAUAUC
Molecule: non-coding RNA, 1626 nt
Filed under: Saccharomyces cerevisiae (brewer's yeast)
Lineage: Eukaryota; Fungi; Ascomycota; Saccharomycetes; Saccharomycetales; Saccharomycetaceae
Description: ribosomal RNA
Rfam family: Bacterial small subunit ribosomal RNA
Source: RNAcentral